AAAAUCCCCAUGUUGUCUCUGAUGCAAUACCAUAUGUAUAUAUAUAUAUAUAUAUAUAUAUGUAUAUAUAUAUAUAUAUAAAUAGUAUUGCAUCAGAGACAACAUGGGCAUAUA
Pelobates cultripes (western spadefoot toad) is the source of this 114-nucleotide non-coding RNA. The record is from the annotation of a GenBank genome assembly. Lineage: Eukaryota; Metazoa; Chordata; Amphibia; Anura; Pelobatidae.